RNAcentral lists this transfer RNA (69 nucleotides) under Euphractus sexcinctus flavimanus. Its description in RNAcentral is "tRNA-Asp". It matches the Rfam family "tRNA". From Rfam's summary of the family: Transfer RNA (tRNA) molecules are approximately 80 nucleotides in length. Their secondary structure includes four short double-helical elements and three loops (D, anti-codon, and T loops). The record is from RNAcentral. Lineage: Eukaryota; Metazoa; Chordata; Mammalia; Cingulata; Chlamyphoridae.
AAGGCAUUAAUAAAAUAAUUAUAUAACUUUGUCAAAGUUAAAUUAUAGGUUAAAACCCUUUAUGCCUUU